ACUCCCGCGGAGACCCCGCCGGGCAGCACUGCGACCCCAGCCCACCGCCUGCAGCCUACUGGGCUGCGCAGGCCGGGCGCCAUGCGGAGGGGCGAGCGCAGAGUCGCCGGAGGCUCGGGAUCUGAGUCUCCGCUGCUCAAGGGCCGCCGCAGCACCGAGUCUGAAGUCUACGACGAUGGCACUAACACCUUCUUUUGGCGUGCCCACACUUUAACUGUGCUGUUCAUCCUCACCUGUGCGCUGGGCUACGUGACUCUCCUAGAAGAAACCCCUCAGGAUACAGCCUACAACACCAAGAGAGGUAUUGUGGCCAGUAUUUUGGUUUUCUUAUGUUUUGGAGUCACACAAGCUAAAGACGGGCCAUUUUCCAGACCUCAUCCAGCUUACUGGCGGUUUUGGCUGUGUGUUAGUGUGGUCUACGAAUUGUUUCUCAUCUUCAUCCUUUUCCAGACAGUCCAGGAUGGCCGACAGUUUCUGAAGUAUGUGGAUCCCAGGCUGGGAGUCCCAUUGCCAGAGAGGGACUACGGGGGCAACUGCCUCAUCUAUGAUGCUGACAACAAGACUGACCCUUUCCACAACAUCUGGGACAAGCUGGAUGGCUUUGUUCCUGCACACUUCAUUGGCUGGUAUCUGAAGGGAAGGAGUGGCAAAGCCUGACGGGCGCUGUCUGGCCCUCAGACGCUCAUGAUCCGUGACUGGUGGAUGUGCAUGAUCAUCAGUGUGAUGUUCGAGUUCCUGGAGUACAGCCUGGAGCACCAGCUGCCCAACUUCAGCGAGUGCUGGUGGGACCAUUGGAUCAUGGACGUCCUCGUCUGCAACGGGCUGGGCAUCUACUGUGGCAUGAAGACCCUCGAGUGGCUGUCCCUGAAGACAUAUAAGUGGCAGGGCCUCUGGAACAUUCCAACCUACAAGGGCAAGAUGAAGAGGAUUGCCUUUCAGUUCACGCCUUACAGCUGGGUACGCUUUGAGUGGAAGCCAGCCUCCAGCCUGCACCGCUGGCUGGCCGUGUGUGGCAUCAUCCUGGUGUUCCUGCUGGCAGAGCUGAACACCUUCUACCUGAAGUUUGUGCUAUGGAUGCCCCCUGAACACUACCUGGUCCUUCUGAGGCUGGUCUUCUUCGUGAACGUGGGUGGUGUGGCCAUGCGUGAGAUCUACGACUUCAUGGAUGAAUUGAAGCCCCACAGGAAGCUGGGCCAGCAGGCCUGGCUGGUGGCAGCCAUCACAGUCACAGAGCUUCUCAUCGUGGUGAAGUAUGACCCGCACACACUCACCCUGUCACUGCCCUUCUACAUCUCCCAGUGCUGGACUCUUGGCUCCAUCCUGGUGCUUACAUGGACUGUCUGGCGCUUCUUCCUGCGGGACAUCACCAUGAGGUACAAGGAGACCCGGCGACAGAAGCAGCAGAGUCACCAGGCCAGAGCCGUCAACAACCGGGAUGGGCACCCUGGGCCAGAUGAUGACCUGCUAGGGACUGGAACUGCAGAAGAAGAGGGGACCACCAAUGACGGUGUGACUGCUGAGGAGGGGACCUCAGCCGCGUCAUGAGCCUCACCCUCGUCACUGGCCUUGUGCCAAGGGGCUGUCCCAUUUCUCCCUUCCUCGUGCUCCCUGCUUCAGAGGCAGGGGUGGGGGGGGCAUCCACACUCCAGGAGGGGCACCUGAGAAUACAUGUUUGUGUGCAGGUAGGUGUAUGCACAUAUUGGCUCCUGACACUACUUUGGGGCCAUGAGCUGAACAGUGAGCCUGGAACUUGCUCUAGAGCAAGAGUCCUUUCUACCUGGUCAACAAAGGCCCUGGUCCAUGGUCUCCCUUGUGCUCAAUCUCAGCACCGGCUAGGGGAGGUAUCUUGGUAUCUCGGUACUCUUUCUCCACUCUUUAUGGGGUAGGCAGAAGCCCCAUGAGACCCUGUGGUCCCACCCACUUACAGCAGCAUAAGUGAAGGAUAUCAUAAUACCAACAUGUCUGCAAAGUGGUGGGUCUAGAGUCAGCACUGAGCCAUUUCCUUUGGAGCCUUCCUUUAACCACGCAGGACUAUAAACUGAAUGGUGUAUACAUGACAGUCACAGAUUGGCCUUUUGCGGCCAGAGAGCCCAACUUGGAGACCUGUACCCCAGGUGCCAGGGUGCUGUCACCAUGGCUCCCUUGAGCAAAUGGAACAAAUAAAGUGAUGAUGAAGGUG
Molecule: RNA transcript, 2179 nt
Organism: Mus musculus (house mouse)
Lineage: Eukaryota; Metazoa; Chordata; Mammalia; Rodentia; Muridae
Gene: Ptdss2
Gene name: phosphatidylserine synthase 2
Exons: 12
Source: RefSeq, marked validated